RNAcentral lists this ribosomal RNA (761 nucleotides) under uncultured Peptostreptococcus sp. RNAcentral's name for it is "bacterial SSU rRNA". It matches the Rfam family "Bacterial small subunit ribosomal RNA", at positions 28 to 776 of the family's 1533-position model. Lineage: Bacteria; Bacillati; Bacillota; Clostridia; Peptostreptococcales; Peptostreptococcaceae. The record is from RNAcentral.
GAUGAACGCGGCGGCGUGCCUAACACAUGCAAGUCGAGCGAGGGUUUGCUCAGUAUUGAGUAUUCUAAAACUAGAAUGUUCAAUUCUGAGCAAAACCAAGCGGCGGACGGGUGAGUAACGCGUGGGUAACCUGCCCUAUACACAUGGAUAACAUACUGAAAAGUUUACUAAUACAUGAUAAUAUAUAUUUGUGGCAUCGCAGAUAUAUCAAAGUGUUAGCGGUAUAGGAUGGACCCGCGUCUGAUUAGCUAGUUGGUGAGAUAACUGCCCACCAAGGCGACGAUCAGUAGCCGACCUGAGAGGGUGAUCGGCCACAUUGGAACUGAGACACGGUCCAAACUCCUACGGGAGGCAGCAGUGGGGAAUAUUGCACAAUGGGCGAAAGCCUGAUGCAGCAACGCCGCGUGAACGAUGAAGGUCUUCGGAUCGUAAAGUUCUGUUGCAGGGGAAGAUAAUGACGGUACCCUGUGAGGAAGCCCCGGCUAACUACGUGCCAGCAGCCGCGGUAAUACGUAGGGGGCUAGCGUUAUCCGGAUUUACUGGGCGUAAAGGGUGCGUAGGUGGUCCUUCAAGUCGGUGGUUAAAGGCUACGGCUCAACCGUAGUAAGCCGCCGAAACUGGAGAACUUGAGUGCAGGAGAGGAAAGUGGAAUUCCCAGUGUAGCGGUGAAAUGCGUAGAUAUUGGGAGGAACACCAGUAGCGAAGGCGGCUUUCUGGACUGCAACUGACACUGAGGCACGAAAGCGUGGGUAGCAAACAGG